UACGUAGGGGGCGAGCGUUGUCCGGAAUUAUUGGGCGUAAAGAGCGUGUAGGCGGUUCGGUAAGUCUGCCGUGAAAACCUGGGGCUCAACCCCAGGCGUGCGGUGGAAACUGCCUAACUAGAGGAUGGUAGAGGGGAGUGGAAUUCCCGGUGUAGCGGUGAAAUGCGCAGAUAUCGGGAGGAACACCAGUAGCGAAGGCGGCUCCCUGGGCCAUUCCUGACGCUGAGACGCGAAAGCGUGGGGAGCAAACAGG
Molecule: ribosomal RNA, 253 nt
Filed under: uncultured bacterium
Lineage: Bacteria
Description: partial 16S ribosomal RNA
Rfam family: Bacterial small subunit ribosomal RNA
Source: RNAcentral